UUGAUAGUCCUGCUGAGUGACAUUUUGUAUUUGUCAACAGAAAAGUUACUAUAUGGGCAGGAACAGUGCAAACUUCCCACACUGCCCUGUCAAUACACCUCAGCCCUGAUCUGGAGUUACCAAAUCCAUCUGAAUAGCUAUUCAAUAUUUGGCCCCU
RNAcentral lists this small RNA (157 nucleotides) under Chelonoidis abingdonii (Abingdon island giant tortoise). RNAcentral's name for it is "TUC338 (ENSCABG00000002851.1)". The record is from RNAcentral. Lineage: Eukaryota; Metazoa; Chordata; Testudines; Testudinidae.